UACGUAGGGGGCAAGCGUUGUCCGGAUUUAUUGGGCGUAACGAGCGUGUCGUCGUCCAGACAGGUCUGCUGUGAAAACUCGAGGCUCAACCUCGAGACGCCGGUGGAAACCGUCUGGCUAGAGUCCGGAAGAGGAGAGUGGAAUUCCUGGUGUAGCGGUGAAAUGCGCAGAUAUCAGGAGGAACACCGGUGGCGAAGGCGGGUCUCUGGGCAGUAACUGACGCUGAGGAGCGAAAGCGUGGGGAGCGAACAGG
This 253-nucleotide ribosomal RNA is filed under the name uncultured bacterium. RNAcentral's name for it is "partial 16S ribosomal RNA". It matches the Rfam family "Bacterial small subunit ribosomal RNA", at positions 524 to 776 of the family's 1533-position model. The record is from RNAcentral.